UACGUAGGGGGCAAGCGUUGUCCGGAAUCAUUGGGCGUAAAGCGCACGUAGGCGGUCUGUUAUGUCGGAUGUGAAAGCCCUUGGCUCAACUAAGGAAGUGCAUCCGAAACUGGCAGGCUGGAGUACUAAAGAGGGUCGCGGAAUUCCCGGUGUAGAGGUGAAAUUCGUAGAUAUCGGGAGGAACACCGGUGGCGAAGGCGGCGACCUGGGUAGAUACUGACGCUGAGGUGCGAAAGCGUGGGGAGCAAACAGG
Molecule: ribosomal RNA, 253 nt
Filed under: uncultured bacterium
Lineage: Bacteria
Description: partial 16S ribosomal RNA
Rfam family: Bacterial small subunit ribosomal RNA
Source: RNAcentral